GCGCUCAUCAGUGCUGCCACUCCCCCCUGUUUCCUUUGGGGAAAAAUAGCAAUGAAGCAGCCAGAGAAGGCUUCUUCCUCCUACCUAUAUCGCCGGCCCUUUGAUUCCUUCAUUCCGUCUGGCUGGGUAUUCCGGCAGCGGGAGCUUGAAGGUCGAGAAAUAGAUCCACUGGUGGUAUGAGCUAUACACAUGGACAACAAGACAUGGAAUAACAAUUGGUAUCAUCAAGAAAGCAUUUUACAAAGAACACUUCUGCUACAUCAGUGGUCAAGAUAUAUGCAGACGACAAGGAUAUGUGUGGCAUUGAGCUUCGUCUAGCUAGACCUGUGUGAAUUUUAUGUGAGUAGCUUUGCCAGUCGGAAUUAACUCAAAUUGAGAAGGAGAAGAUGUAAAUCAGGGAAGGGGCUAAAAGGGACGAGGAGGAGGAGGAAAGGGGAAGGAGAGGCGCAGGAGAAAGAGGUAGCCACACAGCAACCAGCUAGAGAUUGUAGGCAUCUAGCUAGGGUACUCCUCAAGGCCCACUGGAGUAGUAUAAGUAAAAGUUGCAGGGUGGUGCAGCUAUGCAUGCAGGCUUUCUCUUCAUGGCCGGAUGGCAGUGGCAUUUGAUGUAGCUAGCUCUCAAAACUGUUGAUCUGUCCUUGUAUGUGGGCUCAGGAAAGGUAAGGUUGUCCAGCUUAACUAGUGCCGCUUCUUGGUGGCUCCUGGGUGUGUGUGUGGGCAAACGAUGAAGGCAUUAUUAUGAGGCCAAUCCCUAUAUGUGUGUGCAGUUACGACUGUAGGGACAUGUGGGGAGAGCUAUAUGCCAAUACACAUCUGAGCAUGGUCAGGUAUUUGUACACAUCUAACCAUACAGUGGUAGAUAACGAUGGGAUAUUUAGCACAACCCCCGUUGUCUGUUAGUUCACUAGGGCAUAGACAUCUUCGACCUAAGAUUGAGGCAAUUUGUUGCCUAGUUGGGGCCUACUACUACCCAACGGCCCUACCAAAUAAUGAACAGGCCGAGAAAGACAAUCGAGCAAGUCCAUUUUUAAACACAUCACACAACAUCUUUUGCAGUACUAAUGAGUGAAUAAACUAAUCCUCUCAUCUCUAAACUUGGGCCUUCGGAAUCCCCCCCGAACAUGUGCAGGAUAACACACCUCUUGCCCUAAACCACCGUGGUUUUGGUGCAGAGGGAGCCAAGGUGAUAUACUGGCUGACAUAGCAUGUGAUAAGUUGAUUACUGAACAGAUUUGCUACGGCUCAGUCAAAGUACCUAACCAUGUGGUUUCAUUGAGGAUUUGUGGACUGAUAGCGUUAGGGUUCAAGUGUUCAUAGAGGUAGCACAAUCAUCAGAUCAUCGACACGCGGAAUUGAGGACACAUGGAGAGAGGGACCAGAGCUUCUUGUAGUAGUUUAUCAAUGCAUGAUAGAAUUCAGUUGGCUGAACAAUGGACGAAGACGAGGGAUUGCCGGACUAGCCUCUUGAAAAUAUAUGUCGUCAACAUAAAUAUGUUAACUGCUUGAGCUACAUUAGUUGUGCUCGUUAGAAAUUUCCUAGAGCAGAUAGCAUCAUAAUCAAAAGCCACCAAAAAAGUUACAUAGUGCAGAACCCAUUGUAUGUUUUUAAUCAUUUGAUUCGGAUCUAUUUUAAC
Molecule: long non-coding RNA, 1634 nt
Organism: Lolium rigidum
Lineage: Eukaryota; Viridiplantae; Streptophyta; Magnoliopsida; Poales; Poaceae
Exons: 5
Source: RefSeq, a predicted model, not a curated record